This 512-nucleotide ribosomal RNA is filed under the name uncultured bacterium. RNAcentral describes it as "partial 16S ribosomal RNA". It matches the Rfam family "Bacterial small subunit ribosomal RNA", at positions 28 to 507 of the family's 1533-position model. The record is from RNAcentral.
GAUGAACGCUGGCGGCGUGCCUAACACAUGCAAGUCGAACGAAACUUCUUUAUCACCGUGUGCUUGCACUCACCGAUACAGGGUUGAGUGGCGAACGGAUCAGUAACUCGUGUUUAGCCUGCCCUAAAGAAGGGGAUAACACUUGGAAACAGGUGCUAAUACCGCAUAACCAUAGUUACCGCAUGGUAACUAUGUGAAAUGUAGCUGCACUACCGCUGUUGGUUGGUCCGGCGGCGCAUUAGCUAGUCGGUAGGGUAAAGGCUUACCAAGGCAAUGAGGGGUAGCCGAAUUGAGAGGAUGAUAGGCCACAUUGGAACUGAGACACGGACAAAACUCCUACGGGAGGCAGCAGUAGGGAAUCUUAGACAAUGGGCGAAAGCCUGAUAGAGCGAGGCCGCGUGGGUGAAGAAGGUCUUCGGGUCGUAAAGCCCUGUUGUUGGAGAAGAAAGGCAGUGGGAGUAGACGUUGACGUUUUGACGGUAACUAAUCAAGAAGCAACGGCUAACUACGUG